GAUCAGUAGGGAGAUAGUGAGUUAUCUCAAUUGAUGGUUCAGUCAGUUACAGAUAGAACUCCUUGUUCUGCUUUUCCUCCCUUCUCACUACUGUACUUUACUAGUCUUAG
Aotus nancymaae (Ma's night monkey) is the source of this 110-nucleotide unclassified non-coding RNA. It matches the Rfam family "Y RNA". From Rfam's summary of the family: Y RNAs are components of the Ro ribonucleoprotein particle (Ro RNP), in association with Ro60 and La proteins. The Y RNAs and Ro60 and La proteins are well conserved, but the function of the Ro RNP is not known. Lineage: Eukaryota; Metazoa; Chordata; Mammalia; Primates; Aotidae. The record is from Ensembl.